UACGUAAGGGCGCAAGCGUUGUCCGGAAUUAUUGGGCGUAAAGAGCUCGUAGGCGGUUUGUCGCGUCUGCUGUGAAAGCCCGGGGCUCAACCCCGGGUCUGCAGGUGGGUACGGGCAGACUAGAGUGCGUAGGGGAGACUGGAAUUCUGGUGUAGCGGUGAAAUGCGCAGAUAUCAAGGAGGACACCGAUGGCGAAGGCAGGUCUCUGGGCUGUUACUGACGCUGAGGAGCGAAAGCAUGGGGAGCGAACAGGA
Molecule: ribosomal RNA, 254 nt
Filed under: uncultured bacterium
Lineage: Bacteria
Description: partial 16S ribosomal RNA
Rfam family: Bacterial small subunit ribosomal RNA
Source: RNAcentral